This 496-nucleotide ribosomal RNA is filed under the name uncultured bacterium. RNAcentral's name for it is "partial 16S ribosomal RNA". It matches the Rfam family "Bacterial small subunit ribosomal RNA", at positions 29 to 523 of the family's 1533-position model. The record is from RNAcentral.
AUUGAACGCUGGCGGCAUGCUUUACACAUGCAAGUCGAACGGUAGAGGGGGCAACCCCUUGAGAGUGGCGAACGGGUGAGUAAUGCAUCGGAACGUGCCCAGUAGUGGGGGAUAGCCCGGCGAAAGCCGGAUUAAUACCGCAUACGACCUUAGGGUGAAAGCGGGGGAUCGCAAGACCUCGCGCUAUUGGAGCGGCCGAUGUCAGAUUAGGUAGUUGGUGGGGUAAAGGCCUAUCAAGCCGACGAUCUGUAGCUGGUCUGAGAGGACGACCAGCCACACUGGGACUGAGACACGGCCCAGACUCCUACGGGAGGCAGCAGUGGGGAAUUUUGGACAAUGGGCGCAAGCCUGAUCCAGCCAUGCCGCGUGCGGGAAGAAGGCCUUCGGGUUGUAAACCGCUUUUGUCAGGGAAGAAAUCUUCUGGGCUAAUACCCUGGGAGGAUGACGGUACCUGAAGAAUAAGCACCGGCUAACUACGUGCCAGCAGCCGCAGUAA